This 1096-nucleotide ribosomal RNA is filed under the name uncultured Acinetobacter sp. RNAcentral describes it as "bacterial SSU rRNA". It matches the Rfam family "Bacterial small subunit ribosomal RNA", at positions 1 to 1089 of the family's 1533-position model. Lineage: Bacteria; Pseudomonadati; Pseudomonadota; Gammaproteobacteria; Moraxellales; Moraxellaceae. The record is from RNAcentral.
UAGUGAUUAGAGUUUGAUCCUGGCUCAGAUUGAACGCUGGCGGCAGGCUUAACACAUGCAAGUCGAGCGGAGAGAGGUAGCUUGCUACUGAUCUUAGCGGCGGACGGGUGAGUAAUACUUAGGAAUCUGCCUAUUAGUGGGGGACAACAUCUCGAAAGGGAUGCUAAUGCCGCAUACGUCCUACGGGAGAAAGCAGGGGAUCUUUAUGACCUUGCGCUAAUAGAUGAGCCUAAGUCGGAUUAGCUAGUUGGUGGGGUAAAGGCCUACCAAGGCGACGAUCUGUAGCGGGUCUGAGAGGAUGAUCCGCCACACUGGGACUGAGACACGGCCCAGACUCCUACGGGAGGCAGCAGUGGGGAAUAUUGGACAAUGGGGGGAACCCUGAUCCAGCCAUGCCGCGUGUGUGAAGAAGGCCUUAUGGUUGUAAAGCACUUUAAGCGAGGAGGAGGCUCUAUUGGUUAAUACCCAAGAUGAGUGGACGUUACUCGCAGAAUAAGCACCGGCUAACUCUGUGCCAGCAGCCGCGGUAAUACAGAGGGUGCAAGCGUUAAUCGGAUUUACUGGGCGUAAAGCGCGCGUAGGCGGCCAAUUAAGUCAAAUGUGUAAUCCCCGAGCUUAACUUGGGAAUUGCAUUCGAUACUGUUUGGCUAGAGUGUGGGAGAGGAUGGUAGAAUUCCAGGUGUAGCGGUGAAAUGCGUAGAGAUCUGGAGGAAUACCGAUGGCGAAGGCAGCCAUCUGGCCUAACACUGACGCUGAGGUGCGAAAGCAUGGGGAGCAAACAGGAUUAGAUACCCUGGUAGUCCAUGCCGUAAACGAUGUCUACUAGCCGUUGGGGCCUUUGAGGCUUUAGUGGCGCAGCUAACGCGAUAAGUAGACCGCCUGUGGAGUACGGUCGCAAGACUAAAACUCAAAUGAAUUGACGGGGGCCCGCACAAGCGGUGGAGCAUGUGGUUUAAUUCGAUGCAACGCGAAGAACCUUACCUGGCCUUGACAUAGUAGAAACUUUCCAGAGAUGGAUUGGUGCCUUCGGGAAUCUACAUACAGGUGCUGCAUGGCUGUCGUCAGCUCGUGUCGUGAGAUGUUGGGUUAAGUCCCG